AGAGCGAACGCUGGCGGCAGGCCUAACACAUGCAAGUCGAACGGAUCCUUCGGGAUUAGUGGCGGACGGGUGAGUAACACGUGGGAACGUGCCUUUUGGUUCGGAACAACUCAGGGAAACUUGAGCUAAUACCGGAUGUGCCCUUCGGGGGAAAGAUUUAUCGCCAUUAGAGCGGCCCGCGUCUGAUUAGCUUGUUGGUGAGGUAAAGGCUCACCAAGGCUACGAUCAGUAGCUGGUCUGAGAGGAUGAUCAGCCACAUUGGGACUGAGACACGGCCCAAACUCCUACGGGAGGCAGCAGUGGGGAAUCUGCGCAAUGGGCGAAAGCCUGACGCAGCCAUGCCGCGUGAAUGAUGAAGGUCUUAGGAUUGUAAAAUUCUUUCACCGGGGACGAUAAUGACGGUACCCGGAGAAGAAGCCCGGCUAACUUCGCGCCAGCAGCCGC
RNAcentral lists this ribosomal RNA (444 nucleotides) under uncultured bacterium. Its description in RNAcentral is "SSU rRNA". It matches the Rfam family "Bacterial small subunit ribosomal RNA", at positions 26 to 518 of the family's 1533-position model. The record is from RNAcentral.